GCGCAGCUUACACAUGCAGUCGAGCGGUAACAGGGGGUGCUUGCACCCCGCUGACGAGCGGCGGACGGGUGAGUAAUGCAUAGGAAUCUGCCCAGUAGUGGGGGAUAGCCCGGGGAAACCCGGAUUAAUACCGCAUACGCCCUUUGGGGGAAAGCAGGGGAUCUUCGGACCUUGCGCUAUUGGAUGAGCCUAUGUCGGAUUAGCUAGUUGGUGGGGUAAAGGCCUACCAAGGCGACGAUCCGUAGCUGGUCUGAGAGGAUGAUCAGCCACAUCGGGACUGAGACACGGCCCGAACUCCUACGGGAGGCAGCAGUGGGGAAUAUUGGACAAUGGGGGCAACCCUGAUCCAGCCAUGCCGCGUGUGUGAAGAAGGCUUUCGGGUUGUAAAGCACUUUCAGUGAGGAGGAAAACCUUCUGGUUAAUACCCAUGAGGCUUGACGUUACUCACAGAAGAAGCACCGGCUAACUCCGUGCCAGCAGCCGCGGUAAUACGGAGGGUGCAAGCGUUAAUCGGAAUUACUGGGCGUAAAGCGCGCGUAGGUGGUUUGAUAAGCGAGAUGUGAAAGCCCCGGGCUUAACCUGGGAACGGCAUUUCGAACUGUCAGGCUAGAGUGUGGUAGAGGGUAGUGGAAUUUCCUGUGUAGCGGUGA
Molecule: ribosomal RNA, 650 nt
Filed under: Marinobacter sp.
Lineage: Bacteria; Pseudomonadati; Pseudomonadota; Gammaproteobacteria; Pseudomonadales; Marinobacteraceae
Description: bacterial SSU rRNA
Rfam family: Bacterial small subunit ribosomal RNA
Source: RNAcentral